AGAAGUUAGCGUUGGACGUGAGUAUCGCCAACCGGGUCAGAUCUGGAAAGAAGCAGCCCUAACGAUUUUUUUACGGGUCAUUCACUAGCUUCUCAC
This 96-nucleotide signal recognition particle RNA is filed under the name Alphaproteobacteria bacterium. RNAcentral's name for it is "signal recognition particle sRNA small type". It matches the Rfam family "Bacterial small signal recognition particle RNA". From Rfam's summary of the family: The signal recognition particle (SRP) is a universally conserved ribonucleoprotein involved in the co-translational targeting of proteins to membranes. Archaeal SRP consists of a 7S RNA and homologues of the eukaryotic SRP19 and SRP54 proteins. Lineage: Bacteria; Pseudomonadati; Pseudomonadota; Alphaproteobacteria. The record is from RNAcentral. RNAcentral also lists the same sequence under 3 other names.